AGUGAACGCUGGCGGUAGGCCUAACACAUGCAAGUCGAACGGCAGCACAGUAAGAGCUUGCUCUUACGGGUGGCGAGUGGCGGACGGGUGAGGAAUACAUCGGAAUCUACUUUUUCGUGGGGGACAACGUAGGGAAACUUACGCUAAUACCGCAUACGACCUACGGGUGAAAGUAGGGGAUCUUCGGACCUUGCGCGAUUGAAUGAGCCGAUGUCGGAUUAGCUAGUUGGCGGGGUAAAGGCCCACCAAGGCGACGAUCCGUAGCUGGUCUGAGAGGAUGAUCAGCCACACUGGAACUGAGACACGGUCCAGACUCCUACGGGAGGCAGCAGUGGGGAAUAGUGGACAAUGGGCGCAAGCCUGAUCCAGCCAUACCGCGUGGGUGAAGAAGGCCUUCGGGUUGUAAAGCCCUUUUGUUGGGAAAGAAAAGCAGCAGGUUAAUACCCCGCUGUUCUGACGGUACCAAAAGAAUAAGCACCGGCUAACUUCGUG
Molecule: ribosomal RNA, 492 nt
Filed under: uncultured bacterium
Lineage: Bacteria
Description: partial 16S ribosomal RNA
Rfam family: Bacterial small subunit ribosomal RNA
Source: RNAcentral